GCCUGGAUAGCUCAGUCGGCAGAGCAUACCCUUGGUAAGGGUAAGGUCGUGGGUCCAAUUCCCACUCCAGGCU
Molecule: transfer RNA, 73 nt
Filed under: Candidatus Shapirobacteria bacterium CG09_land_8_20_14_0_10_49_15
Lineage: Bacteria; Candidatus Shapironibacteriota
Also listed under: 1 other name
Description: tRNA-Thr
Rfam family: tRNA
About the family: Transfer RNA (tRNA) molecules are approximately 80 nucleotides in length. Their secondary structure includes four short double-helical elements and three loops (D, anti-codon, and T loops).
Source: RNAcentral